UUUCCAUAGGUGAACCUGCGGAAGGAUCAUUAAUGAGAACUAAGGGUAGUAGUCUCGGCUACUACUCUGAACACUCCACCCUUUGUUUAUAUUACCUUUGUUGCUUUAGCAGGCCCGCUCUCGGGCCGCCGGCACCUGCUGGCCAGUGCCUGCUAGAGGACCUAAAACUCUUGUUAAUAAUAUUGUCUGAGUACUAUAUAAUAGUUAAAACUUUCAACAACGGAUCUCUUGGUUCUG
This 237-nucleotide unclassified non-coding RNA is filed under the name plant metagenome. RNAcentral's name for it is "partial contains small subunit ribosomal RNA, internal transcribed spacer 1, and 5.8S ribosomal RNA". The record is from RNAcentral.